This 201-nucleotide ribosomal RNA is filed under the name Candolleomyces candolleanus. Its description in RNAcentral is "Psathyrella candolleana partial 28S large subunit ribosomal RNA". It matches the Rfam family "Eukaryotic large subunit ribosomal RNA", at positions 1 to 195 of the family's 3401-position model. The record is from RNAcentral. Lineage: Eukaryota; Fungi; Basidiomycota; Agaricomycetes; Agaricales; Psathyrellaceae.
AUUUGACCUCAAAUCAGGUAGGACUACCCGCUGAACUUAAGCAUAUCAAUAAGCGGAGGAAAAGAAACUAACAAGGAUUCCCCUAGUAACUGCGAGUGAAGCGGGAAAAGCUCAAAUUUAAAAUCUGGUGGUCUCUGGCCAUCCGAGUUGUAAUCUAGAGAAGUGUUACCCGCGCUGGACCGUGUACAAAGUCUCCACAAA